This 442-nucleotide ribosomal RNA is filed under the name uncultured bacterium. RNAcentral's name for it is "partial 16S ribosomal RNA". It matches the Rfam family "Bacterial small subunit ribosomal RNA", at positions 338 to 795 of the family's 1533-position model. The record is from RNAcentral.
CCUACGGGUGGCAGCAGUGGGGAAUAUUGGGCAAUGGGCGCAAGCCUGACCCAGCAACGCCGCGUGAAGGAAGAAGGCUUUCGGGUUGUAAACUUCUUUUGACAGGGAAGAGUAGAAGACGGUACCUGUCGAAUAAGCCACGGCUAACUACGUGCCAGCAGCCGCGGUAAUACGUAGGUGGCAAGCGUUGUCCGGAAUUACUGGGCGUAAAGCGCUCGUAGGCGGUAUGUCAAGUCAAGGGUGAAAUCCCCGCGCUCAACGUGGGAACUGCCUUUGAAACUGGCAAACUGGAGGGUGUGAGAGGAUAGUGGAAUUCCAGGUGUAGGAGUGAAAUGCGUAGAUAUCUGGAGGAACAGCAGUGGCGAAGGCGACUAUCUGGCACAUAACUGACGCUGAGGAGCGAAAGCGUGGGUAGCAAACAGGAUUAGAUACCCGAGUAGUC